CCUACGGGCGGCAGCAGUGGGGAAUAUUGCACAAUGGGGGAAACCCUGAUGCAGCGACGCCGCGUGAGUGAAGAAGUAAUUCGUUAUGUAAAGCUCUAUCAGCAGGGAAGAAAAUGACGGUACCUGAGUAAGAAGCCCCGGCUAACUACGUGCCAGCAGCCGCGGUAAUACGGAGGGGGCAAGCGUUAUCCGGAUUUACUGGGUGGAAAGGGAGCGUAGACGGCAGUGCAAGUCUGGAGUGAAAGGCGGGGGCUCAACCCCCGGACUGCUCUGGAAACUGUACGGCUGGAGUGCAGGAGAGGUAAGUGGAAUUCCUAGUGUAGCGGUGAAAUGCGUAGAUAUUAGGAGGAACACCAGUGGCGAAGGCGGCUUACUGGACUGUAACUGACGUUGAGGCUCGAAAGCGUGGGGAGCAAACAGGAUUAGAUACCCCAGUAGUC
RNAcentral lists this ribosomal RNA (440 nucleotides) under uncultured bacterium. Its description in RNAcentral is "partial 16S ribosomal RNA". It matches the Rfam family "Bacterial small subunit ribosomal RNA", at positions 338 to 795 of the family's 1533-position model. The record is from RNAcentral.